Molecule: ribosomal RNA, 253 nt
Filed under: uncultured bacterium
Lineage: Bacteria
Description: partial 16S ribosomal RNA
Rfam family: Bacterial small subunit ribosomal RNA
Source: RNAcentral
UACGUAGGGUGCGAGCGUUGUCUGGAAUUACUGGGCGUAAAGAGCUCGUAGGUGGUUUGUCGCGUUGUUCGUGAAAACUCACAGCUUAACUGUGGGCGUGCGGUCGAUACGGGCAGACUUGAGUUCGGCAGGGGAGACUGGAAUUCCUGGUGUAGCGGUGAAAUGCGCAGAUAUCAGGAGGAACACCGGUGGCGAAGGCGGGUCUCUGGGCCGAUACUGACGCUGAGGAGCGAAAGCGUGGGGAGCGAACAGG